AGGAAGGUGGGGAUGACGUCAAAUCAGUCACGGCCCUUACGUCCAGGGCUACACACGUGUUACAAUGGCCAGUACAGAGGGCAGCCACCCCGCGAGGGGGCGCUAAUCCUAAAAGCUGGUCCCAGUUCGGAUCGGAGUCUGCAACCCGACUCCGUGAAGCUGGAUUCGCUAGUAAUCGCGCAUCAGCCACGGCGCGGUGAAUACGUUCCCGGGCCUU
This 217-nucleotide ribosomal RNA is filed under the name uncultured Rikenellaceae bacterium. Its description in RNAcentral is "partial 16S ribosomal RNA". It matches the Rfam family "Bacterial small subunit ribosomal RNA", at positions 1167 to 1382 of the family's 1533-position model. Lineage: Bacteria; Pseudomonadati; Bacteroidota; Bacteroidia; Bacteroidales; Rikenellaceae. The record is from RNAcentral.